RNAcentral lists this ribosomal RNA (497 nucleotides) under uncultured bacterium. Its description in RNAcentral is "partial 16S ribosomal RNA". It matches the Rfam family "Bacterial small subunit ribosomal RNA", at positions 28 to 507 of the family's 1533-position model. The record is from RNAcentral.
GACGAACGCUGGCGGCGUGCCUAAUACAUGCAAGUAGAACGCUGAAGAGAGGAGCUUGCUCUUCUUGGAUGAGUUGCGAACGGGUGAGUAACGCGUAGGUAACCUGCCUUGUAGCGGGGGAUAACUAUUGGAAACGAUAGCUAAUACCGCAUAACAAUGGAUGACCCAUGUCAUUUAUUUGAAAGGGGCAAAUGCUCCACUACAAGAUGGACCUGCGUUGUAUUAGCUAGUAGGUGAGGUAACGGCUCACCUAGGCGACGAUACAUAGCCGACCUGAGAGGGUGAUCGGCCACAAUGGGACUGAGACACGGCCCAGACUCCUACGGGAGGCAGCAGUAGGGAAUCUUCGGCAAUGGGGGCAACCCUGACCGAGCAACGCCGCGUGAGUGAAGAAGGUUUUCGGAUCGUAAAGCUCUGUUGUAAGUCAAGAACGAGUGUGAGAGUGGAAAGUUCACACUGUGACGGUAGCUGACCAGAAAGGGACGGCUAACUACGUG